UACGGAGGGUGCGAGCGUUACUCGGAAUCACUGGGUGUAAAGCGCUCGUAGGUUGCUUUGUAAGUCAGGUGUGAAAUCCCACGGCUCAACCGUGGAAUUGCACUUGAUACUGCAUUGCUUGAGUUCGGGAGAGGGUAGUGGAAUUCCAGGUGUAGGAGUGAAAUCCGUAGAGAUCUGGAGGAACACCGGUGGCGAAGGCGACUACCUGGACCGAUACUGACACUGAGGAG
Molecule: ribosomal RNA, 230 nt
Filed under: uncultured microorganism
Description: partial 16S ribosomal RNA
Rfam family: Bacterial small subunit ribosomal RNA
Source: RNAcentral